GAUGAAGAACGUAGCGAAAUGCGAUAAGUAAUGUGAAUUGCAGAUUUCCAGUGAAUCAUCGAAUCUUUGAACGCACCUUGCGCCCCUUGGUAUUCCGAGGGGCAUGCCUGUCCGAGCGUCAUUGCUGCCCUCAAGCACGGCUUGUGUGUUGGGCCUCCGUCCUCCUCCCGGGGGACGGGCCCGAAAGGCAGCGGCGGCACCGCGUCCGGUCCUCGAGCGUAUGGGGCUUCGUCACCCGCUCUUGUAGGCCCGGCCGGCGCUUGCCGACACAUCAAUCUUUUUUCCAGGUUGACCUCGGAUCAGGUAGGGAUACCCGCUGAACUUAAGCAUAUCAAUAAGCGGAGGA
Molecule: unclassified non-coding RNA, 346 nt
Filed under: soil metagenome
Description: partial contains 5.8S ribosomal RNA, internal transcribed spacer 2, and large subunit ribosomal RNA
Rfam family: 5.8S ribosomal RNA (bases 1-121)
Source: RNAcentral